Molecule: ribosomal RNA, 171 nt
Filed under: uncultured bacterium
Lineage: Bacteria
Description: partial 16S ribosomal RNA
Rfam family: Bacterial small subunit ribosomal RNA
Source: RNAcentral
UUGCUAGUAAUCGCGGAUCAGCAUGCCGCGGUGAAUACGUUCCCGGGCCUUGUACACACCGCCCGUCACACCAUGAGAGUCGGGAACACCCGAAGUCCGUAGUCUAACCCGCAAGGGAGGGCGCGGCCGAAGGUGGGUUCGAUAAUUGGGGUGAAGUCGUAACAAGGUAGC